RNAcentral lists this unclassified non-coding RNA (189 nucleotides) under uncultured Russulaceae. Its description in RNAcentral is "sequence contains ITS1". The record is from RNAcentral. Lineage: Eukaryota; Fungi; Basidiomycota; Agaricomycetes; Russulales; Russulaceae.
UCGUAUCACAACGAGGCGCAAAGGCUGUCGCUGACGAAAGUCGUGCACGUCUUGGUGUCCUUUACAAUCCAUCUUACCCCUUGUGCAUCAUCGCGUGGGUCCUCCCUUUGCCGGGAGGGCCUGCGUUUUUAUAUAAAACUUGACACAAUGUAGAAUGUUUUCUUUUUUUGCAAUUAUAUGCAAUCAAUA